Molecule: long non-coding RNA, 1042 nt
Filed under: Nicotiana benthamiana
Lineage: Eukaryota; Viridiplantae; Streptophyta; Magnoliopsida; Solanales; Solanaceae
Description: long non-coding RNA (NBEN_LNC009537)
Source: RNAcentral
UAUAAGAUGCUAGAGAGAGAAGCUCUGCCUUCUCUCUAACUUUCUCUUCAUCUUCUUCCCUACUUCAUCGUCUUCUUCUCCACUGCAUCUGCUUAGGUAAGUAAACCUAGCGAAGGUUGUUAUGGCAACGAGAAGAGGUCGCCCAAGAAAAGAAUUAGCACCAAUUUAUGCGAGUGAUGUAGUUUUCCAGAAAGCUGUUACCACUGUACCGAUGGUAGGUACUACUGUUCCAUUAAAGCCUGCUGCGAUUACUGUUCCAUUACCUCAAGUAUCAAGUAGGUACUACUGUUCCAUUAAAUCCUGCUGCGAUUACUGUUCCACCUCAAGUAUCAACAGAUCCACAACUGGUAGGUACAACUGUUUCAUCAAAUCCUGUUGCGAUUACUGUUCCAUUGCCUCAAGCAACAACAGAUCCACAACCUACUGCGAUUACUGUUCCAUUGCCUCAAGUACCAACAGAUCCACAACCAUCUGGAGUUUCAGUGAUACCAAUAGCAAAUGUUAAGAGUACAGAGCCUCCAAUCAAGCCUGUAACUGGUCCGAUGGAGCCUAAGAAUGGAGUCCAGACCUGCAUGCAACAAGCAACACCAGCUGAUGAUCCAAAAUCUGUUACAAAGGAAGGUCCAAAAUUAGAUCCACCUAAACAGUGGACUAGUCUCUUCCAGAGUCAAGCCUGUAACUAGUCCGAUGGGGCCUGAGAAAGGAGUCCAGAUCUGCAUGCAACAACCAACACCAGCUGAUGAUCCAAAAUCUGUUACAAAGGAAGGUCCAAAAUUAGAUCCACCUAAACAGUGGACUAGUCUCUUCCAGAAUAACAGACUUGCUGCAAAUGGUAUGUCCUUAGAAUAUAUUCCCCCUACGCUUGUUAAUGGCAAACCAGUUGGUCAACUGGUGAAGGAAGAAGUGGAGGAGGAAGAAGGGAAAUGGAAAUGUGCUCUUGUUGUAUUUGUGUUAGGUAAUAGCCCUGGGUAUAAUGGAAUGAAGAUAUUUAUUAAUCUUCACUGGUCACAUGUUCCUGAGCCUGAACUGUUUUAUCAUGAUG